GACGAACGCUGGCGGCGUGCUUAACACAUGCAAGUCGAACGGAAAGGCCCUGUUCUUGUGGGGUGCUCGAGUGGCGAACGGGUGAGUAACACGUGAGUAACCUGCCCUUUACUUUGGGAUAACUUCAGGAAACUGGGGUUAAUACCGGACAGGAGAACCUUCUGCAUGGUGGGGAUUGGAAAGUUUCGGCGGUUGGGGAAGGACUCGAGGCAUAUCAGCUUGUUGGUGAGGUUGUGGCUUACAAAGGCGUUGACGAGUGGCCGGCUUGGGAGGGUGACAGGCCACAUUGGGACACGGGUGCGGGCAGGACGGCUACGGGAGGCAGCGGUGGGAGAUAUUGCAAGAUGGGCGGAGUGCGGAUGCAGGAACUCCGCGUGCGAGAUGACUGCCUGCGGGUAGUAAAGCGCGUUAGCCUGGGACGAUGCGUAAGUGACGGUAAUGAGUAAGGAAGCAACGGCUAACUACGUG
RNAcentral lists this ribosomal RNA (468 nucleotides) under uncultured bacterium. RNAcentral describes it as "partial 16S ribosomal RNA". It matches the Rfam family "Bacterial small subunit ribosomal RNA", at positions 28 to 507 of the family's 1533-position model. The record is from RNAcentral.